UAUCUCUGUAGAGUCUGCAUAUCAAUAAGCGGAGGAAAAGAAACUAACAAGGAUUCCCUUAGUAACGGCGAGUGAAGCGGGAAGAGCUCAAAUUUGAAAUCUUCAAGGUUCUACCUUGACGAAUUGUAGUUUAAAGAAGUGUUUUCUGCUAGAUGAGUAGCAAAAGUUCCUUGGAAUGGGACAUCAUAGAGGGUGAGAAUCCCGUAUUUGGUUAUUCAUUCUAGCUUUGUGAUACACUUUCAAAGAGUCGGAUUGUUUGGGAAUGCAGUCCAAAAUGGGUGGUAAAUUUCAUCUAAAGCUAAAUAUUGGCGAGAGACCGAUAGCGAACAAGUACCGUGAGGGAAAGAUGAAAAGAACUUUGAAAAGAGAGUUAAACAGUACGUGGAAUUGUCAAAAGGGAAGCGUUUGACACCAGUGUUGUUUUUCCAAGAAUCAAUUACGAAUGGCUUGAUUUUGUGUUGUAUUGACCUUAUCAGCUUUCUUCACUUUUUUCGAGUCUUUCUUAAUGCACUUUUCGGUUAACAAGUCAACAUCAAUUUCUUUUGUUGUAAAAGAGUAUUCGGAAGGUGGCUUUCUUUUCGGAGAAAGUGUUUAUAGCCCUAUACUUCUACAAUCGGAGAGAUUGAGGUCUGCAGCGUAGAUCCUUCGGGGUUAGAUACACUUUGUGCUAAGUUGUAGCUUUUCAUAGACAACUUGUUGACUAUGUUUAGUCAUGCGGCUUACUCGCUUGUGCUAUUUUACCUACGCUUAGGAUGUUGACUGAUAUGUAGUCGUA
RNAcentral lists this ribosomal RNA (775 nucleotides) under uncultured Neocallimastigales. RNAcentral describes it as "partial large subunit ribosomal RNA". It matches the Rfam family "Eukaryotic large subunit ribosomal RNA", at positions 24 to 644 of the family's 3401-position model. Lineage: Eukaryota; Fungi; Neocallimastigomycota; Neocallimastigomycetes; Neocallimastigales. The record is from RNAcentral.